CCUACGUGAGGCAGCAGUGGGGAAUAUUGCACAAUGGGCGCAAGCCUGAUGCAGCCAUGCCGCGUGUGUGAAGAAGGCCUUCGGGUUGUAAAGCACUUUCAGCGGGGAGGAAGGCGGUGAGGUUAAUAACCUCAUCGAUUGACGUUACCCGCAGAAGAAGCACCGGCUAACUCCGUGCCAGCAGCCGCGGUAAUACGGAGGGUGCAAGCGUUAAUCGGAAUUACUGGGCGUAAAGCGCACGCAGGCGGUCUGUCAAGUCGGAUGUGAAAUCCCCGGGCUCAACCUGGGAACUGCAUUCGAAGCUGGCAGGCUAGAGUCUUGUAGAGGGGGGUAAAAUUCCAGGUGUAGCGGUGAAAUGCGUAGAGAUCUGGAGGAAUACCGGUGGCGAAGGCGGCCCCCUGGACAAAGACUGACGCUCAGGUGCGAAAGCGUGGGGAGCAAACAGGAUUAGAUACCCCAGUAGUC
RNAcentral lists this ribosomal RNA (465 nucleotides) under uncultured Klebsiella sp. RNAcentral describes it as "bacterial SSU rRNA". It matches the Rfam family "Bacterial small subunit ribosomal RNA", at positions 338 to 795 of the family's 1533-position model. The record is from RNAcentral. Lineage: Bacteria; Pseudomonadati; Pseudomonadota; Gammaproteobacteria; Enterobacterales; Enterobacteriaceae.